Molecule: transfer RNA, 72 nt
Filed under: Loxodonta africana (African savanna elephant)
Lineage: Eukaryota; Metazoa; Chordata; Mammalia; Proboscidea; Elephantidae
Rfam family: tRNA
About the family: Transfer RNA (tRNA) molecules are approximately 80 nucleotides in length. Their secondary structure includes four short double-helical elements and three loops (D, anti-codon, and T loops).
Source: Rfam by way of RNAcentral
GGUGGUGUAACUCAGUGGUAAAGUGCAUGCUUUGCAUGUGUAAGGCCAUGGGUUCCAUCCCUCACACCUCCA